CCUACGGGUGGCAGUAGUGAGGAAUAUUGGUCAAUGGACGAGAGUCUGAACCAGCCAAGUAGCGUGAAGGAUGACUGCCCUAUGGGUUGUAAACUUCUUUUAUAUGGGAAUAAAAUGUUCCACGUGUGGGAUUUUGUAGGUACCAUAUGAAUAAGGAUCGGCUAACUCCGUGCCAGCAGCCGCGAUAAUACGGAGGAUACGAGCGUUAUCCGGAUUUAUUGGGUUUAAAGGGAGCGUAGGUGGAUUGUUAAGUCAGUUGUGAAAGUUUGCGGCUCAACCGUAAAAUUGCAGUUGAAACUGGCAGUCUUGAGUACAGUAGAGGUGGGCGGAAUUCGUGGUGUAGCGGUGAAAUGCUUAGAUAUCACGAAGAACUCCGAUUGCGAAGGCAGUUCACUGGACUGCAACUGACACUGAGGCUCGAAAGUGUGGGUAUCAAACAGGAUUAGAUACCCCUGUAGUC
This 460-nucleotide ribosomal RNA is filed under the name uncultured bacterium. RNAcentral describes it as "partial 16S ribosomal RNA". It matches the Rfam family "Bacterial small subunit ribosomal RNA", at positions 338 to 795 of the family's 1533-position model. The record is from RNAcentral.